RNAcentral lists this ribosomal RNA (253 nucleotides) under uncultured bacterium. RNAcentral's name for it is "partial 16S ribosomal RNA". It matches the Rfam family "Bacterial small subunit ribosomal RNA", at positions 524 to 776 of the family's 1533-position model. The record is from RNAcentral.
UACAGAGGUCUCGAGCGUUAGGCGGAAUCAUUGGGUUUAAAGGGAGCGUAGGCGGACUUGUAAGUCAGUGGUGAAAUCUGUGGGCUUAACCCACAAACUGCCAUUGAUACUGCAGGUCUAGAGUACAGUUGCCGUUGGCGGAAUAUGACAUGUAGUGGUGAAAUACUUAGAUAUGUCAUAGAACACCGAUUGCGAAGGCAGCUAACGAAGCUGUAACUGACGCUGAGGCUCGAAAGUGCGGGGAUCAAACAGG